UAAUCAAAGUGUUUUUAUGGCACUUUUAAAAAAAUCCAUAUCCACCUUGUGUGCAAUGUCAUCUCACUGGAGGCCAGCGGCUGUAAAAAGCCUGUUUGGUCGCCUUUGGGAUUUAUAUCUACUCAGAACUUUAGUGAUUUUGUCUGAAAAAUAUUAUGAAUAACUUAAUUCAAAAUA
Molecule: unclassified non-coding RNA, 177 nt
Filed under: soil metagenome
Description: partial internal transcribed spacer 1
Source: RNAcentral